GUCACUUAUGCAGAUUUUAUGCAUUUGAAUUCAAAGAAAUAGUGAAAGUUUCACAAAUCAGAAACGAAAUUUUAUUUUUUUAUAAUAAUUAAUCACCCUAUAUCAUUAAAAAUCUCUACAAAUAAUCUUUGAUAUGUUCGUCAAAUUUGAUGUCAAUUUUUGAGUCAAUAGGAUGUGUUACUACUCUCUUCCGGUGAAGUUCCGUAACACAGUGUCUCAUAAUACACAGUACAAGCCUUCUGAACUUUAAUUGAAAAAAUUUAUUCCAUUCAUCAACAAUUGUCCCUCUUAAAUCAACAAUAUUUGCAAAGGUGGCUCUCUGCGAUUGAGAUAUCUGCCAGUGGUAUCCCAGUGUCAAUGGCUUCUUGCUCUUUGUACUCAGUUACAAUCCUUGCCCUGUGUGGUCUAGUGUUGUCGUCUAUGUACAAGGGUCUUGACGCAAAUGAAUGACUAUCUAAAUGAGGGACUACAAUGUUUCUGAGCACCAAAUACCUGGAUGUCUGUCAGUUCAUGAUACCCUGCAUAAUAUGCAUACACAGCUUACAACAGUAUGUAUGAGAAGCAACCCCAUACUGUAACACCACCAGCACCGAAUGCAGUCGUUGGGCAAAUGUUGUUUUGGUCAUAGGUAGUUUAAUAUCCACACCAAAUUUGUAUUAAGCCGUCUAUUGGUCGUAACAGAAACCGAUUCUUAUCUGGCAAAUGAACAUUUUGCCAGCUUCUCAUAUUCCUGGGUCGAUGGUCAUUAGCCCUUUUAAACCUGAUUAUAUGGUGCCUGACUGUUAGGGCAGGUCACUUGAUGUGCUCUUAGGUAGCCUCUAUGAGGUCAACAGACCAAUGUUCACACUAAAACGACCACCUGGAGGCCAGUGGUGUCUUAGCAGUGGGGCAGGAGUAAAUGGUUUGGCUUUUGCAAGACCAAUAAGCAGACUGUCAUCACGACAGGUCACGACAGGUCUUCUGGGCCUUGGUCUAUCAUUUACAGUUUCCGUGUCAACAUGACGUUGUAAAAACUGCCAAUGACGGUGUGAUUAACAUUGAAAUGGUUACCUAUGCUCCUAGUGCUCCUAUCGGCAUUUGACAUGUCAAUUGCUUGUGAACUUUCAGAAACAGAUAACUAAUGCCUUGCCAUAUUGUACAGUGACUUGGUGAAGGUCAAAUUUCACCUGUACACUGUACAGUAGGAAGAUGAUGUUAAGGCAUGGAAACAGUGUAUUCGUAAAAGUGCUGAUGACCUUUAAUAAAAAGUUACUUGGGAGGUUCAUCAGAGUUCAAUUUUUUUGGUCUUUAUGAAAUUUCUUAGUGUAUGUUAUAGGCAAUUCAUACCACCAAAUAUAAAUAUUUUUUUCGCAAUAAUUACAAAAAAAGUUAUAUUUAGGUGGUGCUUAACUUUUGGCGGACUGUAUAUAUGGAAUUGUAUGAUAAAAUGCAUUGUUUUACUAUUUUUAAAAGGUAUCAUGUGUAUCUAACUUAAAGAACAUAACUUAUAAGUUUACAUA
RNAcentral lists this long non-coding RNA (1499 nucleotides) under Mytilus galloprovincialis (Mediterranean mussel). The record is from RNAcentral. Lineage: Eukaryota; Metazoa; Mollusca; Bivalvia; Mytilida; Mytilidae.